Molecule: ribosomal RNA, 502 nt
Filed under: uncultured bacterium
Lineage: Bacteria
Description: bacterial SSU rRNA
Rfam family: Bacterial small subunit ribosomal RNA
Source: RNAcentral
UGGCUCAGGAUGAACGCUGGCGGCGUGCCCAAUACAUGCAAGUCGAACGAGGUAGCAAUACCGAGUGGCGAACGGGUGAGUAACACGUAGGUAACCUGCCCUUAAGCUUGGGAUACCCAGAGGAAACUUUGGCUAAUACCGGAUAACAACAGAGAAGGCAUCUUCUUUGCUUGAAAGGCCCCUUCAAGGGUCACUUAAGGAUGGACCUGCGGCGCAUUAGCUAGUUGGUGAGAUAACAGCCCACCAAGGCGAGGAUGCGUAGCCGAACUGAGAGGUUGAUCGGCCACAUUGGAACUGAGACACGGUCCAAACUCCUACGGGAGGCAGCAGUAAGGAGUUUUCGGCAAUGGGGGAAACCCUGACCGAGCAACGCCGCGUGAGCGAUGACGGCCCUAUGGGUUGUAAAGCUCUGUUGUAAGCCAUGAAUGACAGCUUGAGGAAAUGCAAGUUGUUUGACGACAGCUUACCAGAAAGCCACGGCUAACUACGUGCCAGCCGCAGC